Molecule: transfer RNA, 73 nt
Filed under: Sphaerobolus stellatus SS14
Lineage: Eukaryota; Fungi; Basidiomycota; Agaricomycetes; Geastrales; Sphaerobolaceae
Description: tRNA-Lys (TTT) (tRNA-Lys-TTT-9-1)
Rfam family: tRNA
About the family: Transfer RNA (tRNA) molecules are approximately 80 nucleotides in length. Their secondary structure includes four short double-helical elements and three loops (D, anti-codon, and T loops). Further hydrogen bonds mediate the characteristic L-shaped molecular structure. tRNAs have two regions of fundamental functional importance: the anti-codon, which is responsible for specific mRNA codon recognition, and the 3' end, to which the tRNAs corresponding amino acid is attached (by aminoacyl-tRNA synthetases). tRNAs cope with the degeneracy of the genetic code in two manners: having more than one tRNA (with a specific anti-codon) for a particular amino acid; and 'wobble' base-pairing, i.e. permitting non-standard base-pairing at the 3rd anti-codon position.
Source: RNAcentral
GCAUUGCUAGCUUAAUUGGUAGAGCGUGAGACUUUUAAUCUCAAGGUUGCAGGUUUGACCUCUGCGUGAGGCU